RNAcentral lists this ribosomal RNA (405 nucleotides) under uncultured beta proteobacterium. Its description in RNAcentral is "bacterial SSU rRNA". It matches the Rfam family "Bacterial small subunit ribosomal RNA", at positions 198 to 584 of the family's 1533-position model. Lineage: Bacteria; Pseudomonadati; Pseudomonadota; Betaproteobacteria. The record is from RNAcentral.
GGAGGAAAGCAGGGGAUCGCAAGACCUUGCGCUCAUUGAGCGGCCGAUGCCUGAUUAGCUAGUUGGUGAGGUAAAGGCUUACCAAGGCGACGAUCAGUAGCUGGUCUGAGAGGACGACAAACAACACUGGGACUGAGACACGGCCCAGACUCCUACGGGAGGCAGCAGUGGGGAAUUUUGGACAAUGGGGGAAACCCUGAUCCAGCCAUGCCGCGUGAGUGAAGAAGGCCUUCGGGUUGUAAAGCUCUUUCAGCCGGAACGAAACGGUCACGGCUAAUACCUGUGACUACUGACGGUACCGGAAGAAGAAGCACCGGCUAACUACGUGCCAGCAGCCGCGGGGAUACGUAGGGUGCGAGCGUUAAUCGGAAUUACUGGGCGUAAAGCGUGCGCAGGCGGUUUUGU